AAAUCUGGUUGAUCCUGCCAGAGGCGACCGCUUUGGGAGUUCGAUUAAGCCAUGCGAGUCGUGAGUCUUAGGGACUCGGCAUACUGCUCAGUAACACGUGGAUAACCUGCCCUAUCGUUUGGAAUAACCUCGGGAAACUGAGAAUAAGGCCACAUAGUUCACAAUGCCUGGAACGGUUUGUGAAUCAAGGUAGGAUGGGUCUGCGGCGUAUCAGGUUGUAGGGGGUGUAAAGGACCCCCUAGCCUUCGACGCGUACGGGUGUUGGGAGACAUAGCCCGGAGAUGGAUUCUGAGACACGAAUCCAGACCCUACGGGGUGCAGCAGGCGCGAAAACUU
Molecule: ribosomal RNA, 336 nt
Filed under: Methanobacteriota archaeon
Lineage: Archaea; Methanobacteriati; Methanobacteriota
Description: bacterial SSU rRNA
Rfam family: Archaeal small subunit ribosomal RNA
Source: RNAcentral